AAAUCUGCACAUGCUGGUUAACAUUCUGGUAUAGACCCAUGACCAUUGGUUCAUCCAGUUCCAAGAUAUAAGCUGGAUAAAAAAAGUGGAAGAAUAAAUAAAAAUAAGAAGAAAAAAAGAAACGUAGAAUAACAAUACGUCACCCCAACUCCGUUGAGGGUGCCAUAAUAAGAAAAAAAAAAGAAACGUAGAAUAACAAUACGUCACCCCAACUCCGUUGAGGGUGCCAUAAUAAACACGAUAUUUUAAGGCUAUAAAUUUUAACUCCAGUUAUAAAAAUAUAGACAUAAUAUUGAAAGCGAAUUUAACAAAUAUUACUGAUAAUUAUCCCUCUAAGACCAUUGUGAUUGUUUUAAACAUUUACAACGGUACUGAAAUAUAUACAGAUGUUGUGC
RNAcentral lists this long non-coding RNA (395 nucleotides) under Mytilus galloprovincialis (Mediterranean mussel). The record is from RNAcentral. Lineage: Eukaryota; Metazoa; Mollusca; Bivalvia; Mytilida; Mytilidae.